GUUGUGUCUACAGGGAUUUUUUUUUUUUCCUUUGCAUUUUUGGCUUUUAGAUGAAUGAAGAAUUUUCUCAGCAAAUUAUUAAUUACUCCUCCUUGCCUAUAGAAUUGAGUGCACUGUAGUUAUGUAGGAGUCGAUGGUAUUCAAACUGCAGCUUUUGAUGAAGUAAUCGGCUGCUUCUGGGGCCUCUUUCAGCUGCCCUGGGCGUGCUUCACAUGUAAACGACUGCCAAAUGGAUUCUUUCGACAUUCCAGCCAAUUAAAAUACAUUUAAAGUGCAGCUGGUGGAGAGGCAAGCCGGGCGAUUGUGCGGAGAAGUUCAGGACACAGAGACAAAAAACGAACUUUGCGGAACCCAGCUCGGGCAGCCCAGCCAGGCCUGGGGGUGUGGGGUGGGGGAGGCAGUGCAGAAAAUCACGAAAAGCGGCUAUCUUUAGCUUCCGUCAGAAUCAAAGAUGACACUUUGCGCACCACCUUAAAAGACACAAAAGAGGAAAGCAUGUUUGUUAGGGUGUCAGUUUUCUCCCCUUGCCUCUUGAAACUCGUUGUGUUGGCUGGUUGCCCAAUGUGCUGCUGCAUACAAAUAUUGACAGAACACAGCGGUGUUUGUUAAACGCCGGCUGGGGAAGCCAGUGAUUAAAACUCUUGAAGGAAGAUCUGAAAACCCCAGGAACUCUCCUCAAUAGCCUUAGAACGUUGACCGAGUGAGAGAGAAAACUGUGGGCUAAGGUGAAACACUCACCAUCCCUGUCUGCUAUGCCUUUUCGGAGGCAGCUGCAGUUGCACUAUCUGUGUGGUUCUGCAGGCUCUAUAAACACCCAGCUCUGUGGGUUGCGCUCAGAUGCCAGGUCUGAAAUUCCUGAGAAUGCUAAGAGCGAGCGUGGCUGAGCAGGAGUAUGGAUUCCUACCCAUCAAUUUACCAACGAAAGACACACAAAGUUCCUGAUUGUUUCCUAUCUUUGCCUGUCACGGUUGGCCCUUUCUGGCUUCAGUUUUGUUCAUUGCAAACAAAGAAUCUUGCACAUUUCACAGCGAAGGAUCACGUUGCAGUGUCCUGAGCUCAGUUAAAUGUGCUUUAUUAAUCUUUAAUGUGCCAGUAGCUCUGAGGCUAUGCCAAGCUGAGACUUUCCAAAACUCUUCAAGCUACCUGCUGCCAAGAUAAACGGUGGCAGGCCCAGAAGGGAUAUUUUAAAGAAACUUGCAAGAGCAAAGUUUUACCUAUUAAGUUUUUCUUGA
Molecule: long non-coding RNA, 1232 nt
Filed under: Equus asinus (donkey)
Lineage: Eukaryota; Metazoa; Chordata; Mammalia; Perissodactyla; Equidae
Description: lncRNA (ENSEASG00005027649.1)
Source: RNAcentral